This 25-nucleotide non-coding RNA is filed under the name Rattus norvegicus (Norway rat). Lineage: Eukaryota; Metazoa; Chordata; Mammalia; Rodentia; Muridae. The record is from RNAcentral.
UACAGAAGUAGAUAGUGUGUGACUC